GGCCUCGUAGCUCAGUUGGUAGAACGUACGCGUACAAAGCGUANCAAAGCGUAGGCGGCGUCCAUGCGUGGUUUCGAAUCCCACCGGUGCUA
This 92-nucleotide transfer RNA is filed under the name Echinostoma caproni. It matches the Rfam family "tRNA". Rfam says of the family: Transfer RNA (tRNA) molecules are approximately 80 nucleotides in length. Their secondary structure includes four short double-helical elements and three loops (D, anti-codon, and T loops). The record is from Rfam by way of RNAcentral. Lineage: Eukaryota; Metazoa; Platyhelminthes; Trematoda; Plagiorchiida; Echinostomatidae.